This 149-nucleotide ribosomal RNA is filed under the name uncultured Enterobacter sp. RNAcentral's name for it is "partial 16S ribosomal RNA". It matches the Rfam family "Bacterial small subunit ribosomal RNA", at positions 1333 to 1482 of the family's 1533-position model. The record is from RNAcentral. Lineage: Bacteria; Pseudomonadati; Pseudomonadota; Gammaproteobacteria; Enterobacterales; Enterobacteriaceae.
CGCUAGUAAUCGUAGAUCAGAAUGCUACGGUGAAUACGUUCCCGGGCCUUGUACACACCGCCCGUCACACCUUGGGAGUGGGUUGCAAAAGAAGUAGGUAGCUUAACCUUCGGGAGGGCGCUACCACUUUGUGAUUCAUGACUGGGGUG